This is a long non-coding RNA of Marmota monax (woodchuck), 3634 nucleotides long. RefSeq lists it as uncharacterized. The record is from RefSeq and is a predicted model, not a curated record. The transcript has 3 exons. Lineage: Eukaryota; Metazoa; Chordata; Mammalia; Rodentia; Sciuridae.
AGCAGGAAGAGGAUCAGAGCAGCCUCCACCCGGCUGGUUGGCCUGGGAGCCACCAGAGACCCUCCAUGAGCCCUCAGAGGUUUUCCCCAACCCCAUCCCCGGACCUGCCACCCCAUCAUGCUGCAUCGGCUCACAGUGGUGAAGGUCAGCCACCUAGGGAGCAGCCAGAGGAGCACAAGAGACUGACGGAGCAAGGACAACAGGCACAGACGCAAUGGCUGCCACCAGUACUGAAAGCUACAGGAGUCUCCCUCUGUGACUGGAUCUGCCCCACCUCUGGGGACCCGAAGGGCACAAACGUCUGUGAUCCUGCAGUUCCAGGCUCCGUGAAAGGGGGGCGCUGGGAGUGUGCAGUCAGUCUCCACGAGGGCGCAGCUGAGUCUGUGAGAGAAGCUCUGAGCCCAAGAUUCCGUGAUGCAGAUGCCGCGGAGGGACGGUGAGAUGGCGAGAUCCGAAAAUCCCCCGCAGCGAGAGGAGGACGGUUCCAGACCUCCUGGUGCCUCAGGAUCUGCAGGAGGACAAGGUGGAGCAGGGGAUCUCUGGGGUCCUGGUUACUGAUUCAUUCCGCCCCACUCCCCUGCCAUGGCCCGGGUUCACCCCAGACUCUCCCCUCGAGGAUCCAGGGUUCUGGGGGGUGAACCAAACAUCCCAGAAGCCCCCACCUGAGGGGCUCCCCUCCUCCACCUGAGCCUGGUCAACCUGCCAGCAGAACUAGCCCUCCCAGGAAGGAGCCUGCAAACUGCCUUCUGGAUUCCUCCACUCACCUCCUGGAGAAUGGAUCUCCAGCCCAGGGAGGGGACUGGGGAGCCGCCUGGCUUCUCUCCUCACCCCAGGCCAGGACCGGUGGUGUGUGUGUGCACCCUGACUGCCGCCCAGCUCCCCAGCGGAGCUGUCUAUUGAACUAACCCAGGUUAAUCCAACCCCAGGGACUCCUGCGUCUGCUCCUCACCAGGGCUAAAUGGGCCCUGAAGCCCCAGGGGACAAAGCCCAGGGGGCCAAGGCCCCAGCAGACGGACACCCAGCUGAGCAGAUUUUCCCCUGGGAUAUUAAUUACAGGAGGACAGCAGGCGCACUCAGAUGCCAGCAGAAAUUUUCUGGUGCAGUUCGCUCAGAUAAGAAGCAGCAGGAGUGGGAACCAGGGGCCCGCUGUCACUCAGCCUGUCUCCUCCUCUGAUGGCCGCCCACUCCACAGGGCCCCUCCCACAGCCACUGUCUGGUCUGCGGUGCUCUCUGUGGGCUCUGAACAGGGCUGUCCUGCCAGGCCCUGUUCAGCUUCUCUGGAAGAUUCUCUUCCUGGGCAGAGAGAGGCUAGAAUUCCGGAGGAGCUGGGCCUUGCUUGAGUUCCCCAGGACGUCCCAGGAGGCCUCCAUACCAGUCCCUGAGCAGGGAGGCAGGGGCCGGGUGCCUACAGCAGAGGGAUCCAGGGUGCAGAGCCCAGCAGCCCCAGCCUUGGAGGUGAGACACUCCACUCUGUACCUCAGGAACCUCCCAGAAAUGCCCCUGGCCUGGCCUGAGCCCCUGUGAGCUGCAGGGGGCUGGGAUCUGACCCAUGGGGCAGGGGACCCAGGCUCACAACCCAGGCUCUUCCUCAGAGGCUUCCAGCAUCUUCCAGUGUAGAGCUCAGGGCCCUGUAGGCCUGUGCCCUCUCCCACUUCCAGGAUGCAGAGAGCAGCCACUCUGCCUUCUCCCUGUGUGGUGCCUGUCCCCUUUGGGGGCCUCAGCUGCCCUAUCCACUGCUGAAGAGCCCUGGAUAGGCCAGGGUUCCUGUUCUCUCCAAAGUAGUGCUACUUACAAGGAAGCCACAGGGACCCCAAAGCAGGGCCUCAGGGAGCUGCUAAUUCUUCCAAGGGACCUGGUCUCACUAUCAGAUUCCAGCAUUGAGUGACACCAUUGAGUGACACACCAAGGCAGGAGCUGGUGCCAGCAAUAGCAUGACUCUAGGAGGAUCAAGGGGGGACCUCCCGAGCCUGAGCCACAGGCAGACCGUCUAGGCCACAGUGGGGCCCAGAGACAGUGGUUCACGGCCACCAGGGUCACACCUGACUGGGUGGAAAAGGCAGCCAGGGUUCCAGGGGUGCAGACAUCCCCACCCACCCCAGGAAGCCCCCAUCAGUACCCCACACCCCUCGCCUGCCUGCUCCAGGGUGGGGACGGAGCUGCUUGGGAGAGGAGAGGGAGGGUGGCUCAGGGCCAGGACCAGGGCUCACAGGGACCAGGCAGCAGGAUACUCCUCAAGUCACUGUCUCAGGAGGACAUGAGCAGAGGGGCCUCGCCUGCCCCAGGCCAAGGCAGGGCAGGCCUUAGGUCCAAGCCGCAGCCAGCAGCCAGCAGCCUAGUGUGGGGACGAUGCCCUGUGCAGCCAGAGCGUCAGGGGACAGACCAGAGCUGAGCGGCCUCAUUAGGCUCCGACCUGUUUUCCACUUCCGGCCUGCGCUGGGGUGGCUGCCAUAGUAACCUCACAGACCGAGGUGACAGGCAGCUCCUGGACGUACCCAAGGAGACAUCUCAGACCCCAGAGUCUGUGGGACCUGGGGAGACAAACCAGGGCCUUGAGGGAGGGGUGUCCUGGGAGAGGGGGAGCAGGGGAGGGUGCGUUUUGCGCCCCGCCCCUCCCAGCCCUUGGGGACCCUCGAACGUGGUCCUAUUUAAUCUUCACAACCUUACAGAGCUGCAGGUCGGCCACCUUGAGCGCCAGCUCCCUGGGCCCUGCACUCUAUACCCACUGGCUCUUUGGGGGCUCCACAUCCUGCUGCUGAAGGAAUCAUGCUCCCCAUCUCCCAGGGGUCACCCUGAGCCUCUGGGAGGCACAGCCACAGGGCCACAGCUGCAUGGCUCAUGGUCAGUGCCCACAGGGCCACAGAGCCAGACUCCCGGGCUGCUCUUUGAAUCAUGGAGACCCUGAUCUCUCCUGGUGCCUGCAGGCUUCUUGGAACCCAUGGGUCAGAGUUCAGUCAGGACACAGGAACCGCAGCACAGUGAUCUGAAGGGGUGGCAUUUAUUAUAAAGAAAGAGCUAUGGGAGGGCAGUGGCUGGUGGGAGGCAGGAGCCAACAUGAACAGAAUCCUAGGGCUGACACCACCUUGGAAGGUGGGGUUCAGGUCUCGUGGAGGUCUGUGGUUGCAGCCCGCCCCGCCCCCCGCGUUGGCAGAGACCACGGUUGCUUCCUGGAGGAGCCCAUGCUGGACACACCUGUCAGGAUCCAAGGGAGAGCGAGGGGGGACUACUGCAGGUGGAGCAUCAGGAGGGUCACAGCAAGGUGGUCACCAGACCCAGGACGGGCUUGCUGCGGGUCAUGCAGGCUGGGGCACAGCUGGGGCGAUGCCUACUGGCUUCCUCCCUCUGAGAGAAGGUUGCAGAAGGAGCAGGAAGAUGCCCAACAGCUUUCUCGCCGUGUCCCUCCAGCGCCCUCUACUGACGACGCCGAACACCGUGACCCUGUGCAGAAGGCCCCUGAGCCCCAUCCAGCAAGGGCUCGCAGGGGAAUCCACAGCCCAGACGCAGUAACGGACUGUGGGCCUGCAAACUACCGCCACAGGGCCACAUCGGGGAUGCUGCCUGUUAUUGUGCAGCUCAGGAUCUAAGAAGUUUUUCUGAACCUUUUUAAAUGAUUAAAAAAUAAUUUAGAGAAGAAUAA